UACGUAGGUGGCAAGCGUUAUCCGGAUUUACUGGGUGUAAAGGGUGCGUAGGCGGAUUUUCAAGUCAGUAGUGAAAUGCAGGGGCUUAACCCCUGAGCUGCUAUUGAAACUGAGAGUCUUGAGUGGAGUAGAGGCAGGCGGAAUUCCCGGUGUAGCGGUGAAAUGCGUAGAGAUCGGGAGGAACACCAGUGGCGAAGGCGGCCUGCUGGGCUUUAACUGACGCUGAGGCACGAAAGCAUGGGUAGCAAACAGG
This 253-nucleotide ribosomal RNA is filed under the name uncultured bacterium. Its description in RNAcentral is "partial 16S ribosomal RNA". It matches the Rfam family "Bacterial small subunit ribosomal RNA", at positions 524 to 776 of the family's 1533-position model. The record is from RNAcentral.